GAUGAACGCUGGCGGCGUGCUUAACACAUGCAAGUCGAACGGUAACGGCGGAGCUUGUUCUGCUGGAUCAGUGGCGAACGGGUGAGUAACACGUGAGCAACCUGCCCCUGACUUUGGGAUAAGCGCUGGAAACGGCGUCUAAUACAGGAUACGAGCUGCGAAGGCAUCUUCAGCAGCUGGACAGAAUAUCGGUCACGGAUGAGCUGGCGGCCUAUGAGCUUGUUGGUGAGGGAAUGGCUCACCAAGGGGGCGACGGGUAGCCGGCCUGAGAGGGUGACCGGGCACCCGGGGACUGAGACACGGCGCAGAGUGCAACAUGAGGCAGCGGGGGGAAAUAUGGCACAAUGGGAGAGAGCCUGAUGCAGCAGCGCCGCGUGAGGGAAGACGGCCUGCGGGGUAUAAACCGCUUUUGGCAGAGAAGAAGCGAAAGUGACGGUACCUGCAGAAAAAGCACCGGCUAACUACGUG
RNAcentral lists this ribosomal RNA (468 nucleotides) under uncultured bacterium. RNAcentral's name for it is "partial 16S ribosomal RNA". It matches the Rfam family "Bacterial small subunit ribosomal RNA", at positions 28 to 507 of the family's 1533-position model. The record is from RNAcentral.